This 499-nucleotide ribosomal RNA is filed under the name uncultured soil bacterium. RNAcentral's name for it is "bacterial SSU rRNA". It matches the Rfam family "Bacterial small subunit ribosomal RNA", at positions 26 to 519 of the family's 1533-position model. The record is from RNAcentral.
AGAUUGAACGCUGGCGGCAGGCCUAACACAUGCAAGUCGAGCGGUAGAGAGGUGCUUGCAUCUCUUGAGAGCGGCGGACGGGUGAGUAAUGCCUAGGAAUCUGCCUAGUGGUGGGGGAUAACGUUCGGAAACGGACGCUAAUACCGCAUACGUCCUACGGGAGAAAGCGGGGGACCUUCGGGCCUCGCGCCAUUAGAUGAGCCUAGGUCGGAUUAGCUAGUUGGUGAGGUAAUGGCUCACCAAAGGCGACGAUCCGUAACUGGUCUGAGAGGAUGAUCAGUCACACUGGAACUGAGACACGGUCCAGACUCCUACGGGAGGCAGCAGUGGGGAAUAGUUGGACAAUGGGCAAAGCCUGAUCAGCCAUGCCGCGUGUGUGAAGAAGGUCUUCGGAUUGUAAAGCACUUUAAGUUGGAAGGAAGGUUGUAACCUAAUACGUUGACAACUUUGAACGUUACCGACAGAAUAAGCACCGCUAACUUCGACGCAGCAGCCGACG